UGGGGAAUAUUGCACAAUGGGGGAAACCCUGAUGCAGCGACGCCGCGUGAGCGAAGAAGGUUUUCGAAUCGUAAAGCUCUGUCCUAUGAGAAGAUAAUGACGGUAUCAUAGGAGGAAGCCCCGGCUAAAUACGUGCCAGCAGCCGCGGUAAUACGUAUGGGGCGAGCGUUGUCCGGAAUUAUUGGGCGUAAAGGGUACGUAGGCGGUCUAUUAAGUCAGGUGUGAAAGCGUGAGGCUUAACCUCAUUAAGCACUUCAAACUGAUAGACUUGAGUGAAGGAGAGGAAAGUGGAAUUCCUAGUGUAGCGGUGAAAUGCGUAGAUAUUAGGAGGAAUACCGGUGGCGAAGUCGACUUUCUGGACUUUUACUGACGCUCAGGUACGAAAGCGUGGGGAGCAAACAGG
Molecule: ribosomal RNA, 403 nt
Filed under: Verrucomicrobiota bacterium
Lineage: Bacteria; Pseudomonadati; Verrucomicrobiota
Description: Verrucomicrobia bacterium partial 16S ribosomal RNA
Rfam family: Bacterial small subunit ribosomal RNA
Source: RNAcentral